Non-coding RNA from Hydra vulgaris (swiftwater hydra), 586 nucleotides. The record is from RefSeq and is a predicted model, not a curated record. NCBI's taxonomy places the organism in Eukaryota, Metazoa, Cnidaria, Hydrozoa, Anthoathecata, Hydridae.
UAAGUUAUCAUUAAUUGUUAAUAAAUAUUUUUUAGGAUGGAAAGUAUUGUAAAGACUAUCAAGAAUUGGCUGAACUUACUUUGAUGGUACUCUCAGCCACCGACAGAUUCAAACUUUACAAUCCUGAUGCUGUUCAUCAUGCCAGAUUUAUGUGUAAAAGUUUAUUUUACUUAAAACUAUUUCUACUCAUGGAAAGAGUUCCUGAAAUCAAUGAAGAGAGCAGGGAUGAAAUCACAGAAAUGACAAAGUUUCUUUCUAUUUUUUACACUGAGUGGUUUCUCUGAGCGGAGUUAAGUUUAGCUGCUCUGGCACAGGACAUGAAAACAUUAUAGCAGAUGAAAAGAUUCGAGAAAUGGAAUAAAGCUGGCGGUCAAGCAGUUUCUAAAUCCAUACAACGACAUACUUGGUACCUUGAUCCAUAUUUAGUCAUUUUAACAAUUGCAGAUAAGAAAUGUCAAAAAUAAGGCGAUAUGGCUAAGAGCCUCCCAGUUUAGUUCCACGAAUUACAGAGAAGUCAUGGCUUUAUUUGUUUAUAAAAAAAUGUAGCGUUUAUUGUUUUUAAACAAAUAUUGUAUUAUUUUGGUGA